CGAAAGGAUUCAGAAACGAGCAAUGCAUAUGAUCUUUCCAGACCUCAGUUAUAAUGAUGCGCUUGCAGAGACUAAACUUUUCAAACUUGGUGUAAGAUGGGAGAAAUUGAGUGGUGAUUUAUUUAGUCAUAUUGUUAGGAAUGGCAAUCAUAAAUUAGCCCAUCUAUUACUUCCUAUAGAGUUAAUGUAUCUCGGAACAUGAGGAAUCUUAGAAUUUUUGAAAUUCCGGUGUGUUGGACAGAUCGGUUCAAGAAAUCAUUUAUAGUACAUUUCGCUGACAUUUUUAACUUAGAUUCGUAAUUUUAUAUCUUUAAAUUUUUCUUA
This is a non-coding RNA of Paramuricea clavata, 324 nucleotides long. Lineage: Eukaryota; Metazoa; Cnidaria; Anthozoa; Malacalcyonacea; Plexauridae. The record is from the annotation of a GenBank genome assembly.